Molecule: transfer RNA, 91 nt
Filed under: Candidatus Omnitrophota bacterium
Lineage: Bacteria; Pseudomonadati; Candidatus Omnitrophota
Description: tRNA-Ser
Rfam family: tRNA
About the family: Transfer RNA (tRNA) molecules are approximately 80 nucleotides in length.
Source: RNAcentral
GGAGAGGUCGCCUAGCUGGCUCAGGGCAGCGGUUUGCUAAACCGCCGGGUGCUGAAAGGUGUCCACGUGAGUUCGAAUCUCACCCUCUCCG